GACGAACGCUAGCGACGUGCUUAACACAUGCAAGUCGAACGGAAAGGCCCUGCUUUUGUUGGGUGCUCGAGUGGCGAACGGGUGAGUAACACGGGAGUGACCUGCCCUUGACUUUGGGAUAACGUCAGGAAACUGGGGCUAAUACCGGAUAGGAGCUCCUGCUGCAUGGUGGGGGUUGGAAAGUUUCGGCGGUUGGGGAUGGACUCGCGGCGUAUCAGCUUGUUGGUGGGGUAGUGGCUUACCAAGGCUUUGACGGGUAGCCGGCCUGAGAGGGUGACCGGCCACAUUGGGACUGAGAUACGGCCCAGACUCCUACGGGAGGCAGCAGUGGGGAAUAUUGCACAAUGGGCGGAAGCCUGAUGCAGCAACGCCGCGUGCUGGAUGACGGCCUUCGGGUUGUAAACCGCUUUCGCCUGUGACGAAGCGUGAGUGACGGUAAUGGGUAAAGAAGCACCGGCUAACUACGUG
This 468-nucleotide ribosomal RNA is filed under the name uncultured bacterium. RNAcentral describes it as "partial 16S ribosomal RNA". It matches the Rfam family "Bacterial small subunit ribosomal RNA", at positions 28 to 507 of the family's 1533-position model. The record is from RNAcentral.